UAGCAUAUCAAUAAGCGGAGGAAAAGAAACCAACAGGGAUUGCCCUAGUAACGGCGAGUGAAGCGGCAACAGCUCAAAUUUGAAAUCUGGCGUCUUUGGCGUCCGAGUUGUAAUUUGCAGAGGGCGCUUUGGCAUUGGCAGCGGUCCAAGUUCCUUGGAACAGGACGUCACAGAGGGUGAGAAUCCCGUACGUGGUCGCUAGCCUUUACCGUGUAAAGCCCCUUCGACGAGUCGAGUUGUUUGGGAAUGCAGCUCUAAAUGGGAGGUAAAUUUCUUCUAAAGCUAAAUACUGGCCAGAGACCGAUAGCGCACAAGUAGAGUGAUCGAAAGAUGAAAAGCACUUUGGAAAGAGAGUUAAAAAGCACGUGAAAUUGUUGAAAGGGAAGCGCUUGCAGCCAGACUUGCUUGUAGUUGCUCAUCCGGGUUUUUACCCGGUGCACUCUUCUACAGGCAGGCCAGCAUCAGUUUGGGCGGUUGGAUAAAGGUCUCUGUCAUGUACCUCUCUUCGGGGAGAACUUAUAGGGGAGACGACAUGCAACCAGCCUGGACUGAGGUCCGCGCAUCUGCUAGGAUGCUGGCGUAAUGGCUGUAAGCGGCCCGUCUUGAAACACGGACCAAGGAGUCUAACAUCUAUGCGAGUGUUUGGGUGUCAAGCCCGAGCGCGUAAUGAAAGUGAACGGAGGUGGGAACCUUUCGGGGUGCACCAUCGACCGAUCCUGAUGUCUUCGGAUGGAUUUGAGUAAGAGCAUAGCUGUUGGGACCCGAAAGAUGGUGAACUAUGCUUGAAUAGGGUGAAGCCAGAGGAAACUCUGGUGGAGGCUCGCAGCGGUUCUGACGUGCAAAUCGAUCGUCAAAUUUGGGCAUAGGGGCGAAAGACUAAUCGAACUAUCUAGUAGCUGGGUUCCUGCCGA
RNAcentral lists this ribosomal RNA (911 nucleotides) under Didymella viburnicola. RNAcentral describes it as "LSU rRNA". It matches the Rfam family "Eukaryotic large subunit ribosomal RNA", at positions 36 to 964 of the family's 3401-position model. The record is from RNAcentral. Lineage: Eukaryota; Fungi; Ascomycota; Dothideomycetes; Pleosporales; Didymellaceae.